GACGAACCGUGCGAACGUUGUUCGGAUUCACUGGGCUUAAAGGGCGCGUAGGCGGCUUGCCAAGUCAGGGGUGAAAUCUUUCGGCUUAACCGGAAAAGUGCUUCUGAUACUGGUGGGCUGGAGGGAGGUAGGGGCAGAUGGAACUUCCGGUGGAGCGGUGAAAUGCGUAGAUAUCGGAAGGAACGCCGGUGGCGAAAGCGAUCUGCUGGACCUCUUCUGACGCUGAGGCGCGAAAGCCAGGGGAGCAAACGGG
Molecule: ribosomal RNA, 253 nt
Filed under: uncultured bacterium
Lineage: Bacteria
Description: partial 16S ribosomal RNA
Rfam family: Bacterial small subunit ribosomal RNA
Source: RNAcentral